GUUUGAAAUAUCCAAUAAAUGUCGUUCCACUUCAUGGUUGUGUCCCACUUGUUGUUGAUUCUAAACAAAAAAAUACAGUUUUAUAUCUUUGUUUGAAGCCUGAAAUGUGGCAAAAGGUCGCAAAGUUCAAGGGGGCCGAAUACUUUCGCAAGGCACUGUAUCCAUCAAGGUUAAACCUACAUUUGUUUUGAGGAGAAGUGUGAUGCUGUUGUUUCUGCAGGCAGCUUUGAGUUGGAGAUCAACGGGGAGCUGGUCUUCUCCAAGCUGGAAACAGGUGGCUUCCCCAUGGAAAAGGAUGUCAGGGACGCUCUCCAGAACACCUAUGCUGGCAAGCAAGUAGAAAAGUGGACCAGAAAUCGCCCACCUUGUGUCAUCCUGUAGAUUUCAAUUCCCUCCAUCCUCCAACAGUUAUCACUCAGACCAAUGCUGCUGUCUGUCACCACUCACACAGCAGAGACUCCUUUCUGUUCCUUCUCUCUCUCUGCUCCCAUUGCAGUGUUCCAGGACUUUAUAUGAUUACUGUAGACCAAAGCUGAAAGGUUUAUAGUAUGAUGACCCCAGUCCUGGCAGCUCCUAUGUUAUGGGAUCAGAGAAAGGGAGGACAUGGAAAGACUGGUUGGGUGGAACUUCCUUAUUCCAGAUCUUCUAUGGCUAUCUGUUUACAGCACCAUCAUCAGCCAGAUAAACUAUCAAUUUGAGUUGCUGAAGCCUGUCUCGCGUUGUGUUACUGUGUAUUGAUCUCCCAUAUUGCAACUGAUGCUUUGCAAUUAGCUUUAAGUAGAGCUGGUCAAGUGAGUAGAUGAAUUGCUAGUUAUGGUAAUAUAGGCCACCACCCACUAGUCUGUAUGCUACACUAACGAGACAUCAGCCCAUGUUCAUCACACGUCAUUUGAAUUAUCAUCGCUGAAUACUGUUAUUGAUUGCUGAUGACAAUGUUUGAUACCCACUGGGAGGACUUCAAUCUCAAAAUAAAAUAAAAUGAC
Molecule: long non-coding RNA, 983 nt
Organism: Oncorhynchus tshawytscha (Chinook salmon)
Lineage: Eukaryota; Metazoa; Chordata; Actinopteri; Salmoniformes; Salmonidae
Source: Ensembl